This 492-nucleotide ribosomal RNA is filed under the name uncultured bacterium. RNAcentral describes it as "partial 16S ribosomal RNA". It matches the Rfam family "Bacterial small subunit ribosomal RNA", at positions 29 to 507 of the family's 1533-position model. The record is from RNAcentral.
AGUGAACGCUGGCGGUAGGCCUAACACAUGCAAGUCGAACGGCAGCACAGUAAGAGCUUGCUCUUACGGGUGGCGAGUGGCGGACGGGUGAGGAAUACAUCGGAAUCUACUUUUUCGUGGGGGAUAACGUAGGGAAACUUACGCUAAUACCGCAUACGACCUACGGGUGAAAGCAGGGGAUCUUCGGACCUUGCGCGAUUGAAUGAGCCGAUGUCGGAUUAGCUAGUUGGCGGGGUAAAGGCCCACCAAGGCGACGAUCCGUAGCUGGUCUGAGGGGAUGAUAAGCCACACUGGAACUGAGACACGGUCCAGACUACUAAGGGAGGCAGCAGUGGGGAAUAUUGGACAAUGGGCGCAAGCCUGAUCCAGCCAUACCGCGUGGGUGAAGAAGGCCUUCGGGUUGUAAAGCCCUUUUGUUGGGAAAGAAAAGCAGCAGGUUAAUACCCCGCUGUUCUGACGGUACCCAAAGAAUAAGCACCGGCUAACUUCGUG